Globicephala melas (long-finned pilot whale) is the source of this 818-nucleotide long non-coding RNA. RefSeq lists it as uncharacterized. Lineage: Eukaryota; Metazoa; Chordata; Mammalia; Artiodactyla; Delphinidae. The record is from RefSeq and is a predicted model, not a curated record.
UGCUGAAUGAGCAUCUUGCCUCGCCAUGUGCGGGACCACUUCUCUGGGAUGUAGGUUUUCUUUUCCUUGUUUUACAGGUGAGCCAACAGAGGCCCAGAAAAGCUGAGUGACUUGUUGAAGAUGCCCUCGCCGGUGAGAAGGGGACCCUGGGUGGUGGUGGAUUCUGAAGACAUGUGGUUUUUACUGGCUGAGGCUCAGCUGGACCACCCACACAUCUGUUUCCAGCCUGGGGGCCCUUGGAUCUUCCGUGAGACCGAGAUGGCUCCUGAGUCAUAAGUGAUGUCACCUCCAUCCAAGCCUCCUGGAGCAUUUUGUUAAAUGAACCUGGGGCAGCGCCUUCCAGAACAGUCUGACUCUAGGUUUGCAACUCAAAAUUACACUACACCACAGGACCUAUGAGAUGACUUCUGUCUAGAGGACAAGGCGGACCCGUCCCACCAAGAUAGGGCUAAGUCACUCAUCAGAACACACGUCUGAAUUAUUCCCCUGAACUUUAUGAAGACUGCUAAGAUCAAGUCUUACUAAGAAUGAUUAAAUAAACAAAAACCUGACUUCUUUCCAGUGCCAGUUGAAUGCUCUUUCUUGAGCACAAGUAGCAAAAAAUGAAAAGAGAAAAGCAAAUCAUUCCCAACACGGGGCACGGAGUUUCCCUGGUCUUUAGUCCAUGUUCUCACAUCUUCCUAAUUCCUCUCUCCCUUUUCCCUCCCUCUCCUUCCUCCUGCUUCUUCUCCUCCCAACAAAUGAACUUGUAAUCAUCAGUUAGCAAUCCUCAGGAAAAGCUUCAAGAGGAAGGCGGUGUAUUGUGAAGCAGGAAACAA